This 461-nucleotide ribosomal RNA is filed under the name uncultured Nitrososphaerota archaeon. RNAcentral describes it as "bacterial SSU rRNA". It matches the Rfam family "Archaeal small subunit ribosomal RNA", at positions 340 to 801 of the family's 1478-position model. Lineage: Archaea; Thermoproteati; Nitrososphaerota. The record is from RNAcentral.
CGAGAAAACUUUGCAAUGUGCGAAAGCACGACAAGGUUAAUCCGAGUGGUUUCUGCUAAAGGAACCUUUUGCCAGUCCUAGAAACACUGGUGAAUAAGGGGUGGGCAAGUUCUGGUGUCAGCCGCCGCGGUAAGACCAGCACCUCAAGUGGUCAGGAUGAUUAUUGGGCCUAAAGCAUCCGUAGCCUGCUUUGUAGUUUCGGUUAAAUCUAUUCGCUCAACGAAUAGGCUGCCGGGAAUACUGCAAAGCUAGGGAGUGGGAGAGGUAGACGGUACUCGGUAGGAAGGGGUAAAAUCCUUUGAUCUAUUGAUGACCACCUGUGGCAAAGGCGGGUCUACCAGGACACGUCCGACGGUGAGGGAUGAAAAGCUGGGGAGCAAACCGGAUUAGAUACCCGGGUAAGUCCCAGCUGUAAACUAUGCAAAACUCAGUGAUGCAUUGGCUUGUGGCCAAUGCAGUGC